This 686-nucleotide long non-coding RNA is filed under the name Parus major (Great Tit). RNAcentral's name for it is "lncRNA (ENSPMJG00000010885.1)". Lineage: Eukaryota; Metazoa; Chordata; Aves; Passeriformes; Paridae. The record is from RNAcentral.
AUAUUGUGUUCCUAAGCCAUUGGACUCUUUCUUUCAGAAGGACAGGAUAGCAGGAUUAAUGAAGAGCUUAAUGAUCUCCUGCUGGGAUGAUGAGUCCAGGAAGUAGCUGCUGUAAAAGGAGAUUUUCUGGUACCAGCUGAGGAGCAUUUGUGGAGGAGCCAUGGAAGGUAUUUCUGUGGGGUGGGCAGUUGGCUUAGGAAGGUCAUAGGGAAGAGGAAAGAGUGGUUGCUAAUAUCUAAUUUAGAUUAUGGUCUUUUCAGAGAGAGGAGGUGUAUGGACUGAUUCAGAUUUCUUCUGAAGGCAAGCAGUGACAAGGAAGUCAGAAGUUAAGGUAUCCUAGAUUUCUGUAUAACCAAGAGUUAUCUGUAACUUCCUGCCUCACCCCAGGACACUGGGACAGAAGAGUUAUUCAAAGCAGUAUGCCAGAGGUGACCUAGGGCCCACUGUGUCUCCUUCAGGUAGUGAUAUUCCCAGAUAUUCCUCAAACCAGGGUACAGAGUCUCCUACUGGUGGGAUCAUGGAUUUAUACCUAUCUGAUGGUUUUGGAUGUGACCAGCAGCUGCAAAUCUCAAGAAGAUAUAUGGUGCAUCUUUUGCAAAGAUCAGCAAACCCCUGGGGAAAACCCCUUUGAAGAGAGGAUGGCUACAGGAGGACUAAAAGAAGGCUUGAGGAGAGCUUCAAAGGAG